AUGGACCAAUCCAUCCCUUUUUCCCGUGCAUAUGCAUCGGACUCGGAUGACAAUGGUCCCAAUGAAGAAGUUGAUGAGGAGGGGUUCACACCGAAGGAGGCCCAAGCAUUCAAGAAGGUAUUCGGGCGGGAUCACAAGACACCAUUGUUCAAGGAUCUUAUUCUCGCAGAUGAAGCCGUCGUGGAUGGUGGAAAAUGCAUAUCUCUUGGAGCUAGGCCAAGUUCUCAC
RNAcentral lists this ribosomal RNA (228 nucleotides) under Triticum aestivum (bread wheat). Its description in RNAcentral is "partial small subunit ribosomal RNA". The record is from RNAcentral. Lineage: Eukaryota; Viridiplantae; Streptophyta; Magnoliopsida; Poales; Poaceae.